Molecule: small nuclear RNA, 95 nt
Filed under: Lingulaulax polyedra
Lineage: Eukaryota; Dinophyceae; Gonyaulacales; Lingulodiniaceae
Description: Lingulodinium polyedra partial Dictyostelium signal recognition particle
Source: RNAcentral
AGUGGACGAGGUCCUUGCGAUCGCGAGCGGCGAGGUAGACCGCGCCGUGGUGCAGGCCGGCAACAAAGAGGAGGACGCAGAGGAGGGCCACCGCG